GCGCCUGUAGCUCAAUAGGAUAGAGUUCCUGGCUUCGAACCAGGGGGUUGGGGGUUCGAUUCCCUCCAGGCGUA
RNAcentral lists this transfer RNA (74 nucleotides) under Candidatus Helarchaeota archaeon. RNAcentral's name for it is "tRNA-Arg". It matches the Rfam family "tRNA". Rfam says of the family: Transfer RNA (tRNA) molecules are approximately 80 nucleotides in length. Their secondary structure includes four short double-helical elements and three loops (D, anti-codon, and T loops). The record is from RNAcentral. Lineage: Archaea; Promethearchaeati; Candidatus Helarchaeota.